RNAcentral lists this RNase P RNA (364 nucleotides) under Wallemia mellicola CBS 633.66. RNAcentral's name for it is "Nuclear RNase P". It matches the Rfam family "Nuclear RNase P". Rfam says of the family: Ribonuclease P (RNase P) is a ubiquitous endoribonuclease, found in archaea, bacteria and eukarya as well as chloroplasts and mitochondria. Its best characterised activity is the generation of mature 5'-ends of tRNAs by cleaving the 5'-leader elements of precursor-tRNAs. The record is from Rfam by way of RNAcentral. Lineage: Eukaryota; Fungi; Basidiomycota; Wallemiomycetes; Wallemiales; Wallemiaceae.
GCAGCCUGAAGUGACUCGUAUGCUUCUUUACAGACGAGCUGUCUCGUACGGCUAUAACGAAGCGGGUAAGGUCUGAGAGUUCUAACUUCCCUCGUCAUACAACUCGAGAUGGGUUGAACGAUAAUUCGUUGAGCGACGCACCAGAAAAGCACUCUCUUGUGGAUUAGCUGAAGACAGUCUUCCUCGAGGCGACGAUAUCCACAGCCGAGAGUUGGGAACACGUCGUGGGAGUCGCAGAAGUGGUUCUCAGGGUUGAGAAUAGCUUUAUACACCUACAUGGUGUAUAGAUCACGCCACUGCUGCUUAAGUGCACUACGAGUCGUCCUGCAGCAGGAAAACUCGAUUCAGACUACUCUUAGGCUGC